Molecule: non-coding RNA, 72 nt
Organism: Bos taurus (domestic cattle)
Lineage: Eukaryota; Metazoa; Chordata; Mammalia; Artiodactyla; Bovidae
Source: Rfam
UCCUUGGAGGUCCAGUGGUUAGGAUUCAGCACUUUCACUGCUGUGGUCCAAGUUCAAUUCCUGGUGGGGGAA